AGGACACUCUAUACGGAGUUACAAAGGACGACAUUAGACGAAUCAUCUGGAAAGAUGAAUCAAAGAAGGUAAUAAUCCUGUAGUCGAAAAUGUUGUCUCUCUUGAGUGGAUCCUGAGUACGACGGAGCACGUGAAAUUCCGUCGGAAUCUGGGAGGACCAUCUCCUAAGGCUAAAUACUCUCUAGUGACCGAUAGUGAACCAGUACCGUGAGGGAAAGGUGAAAAGCACCCCGGAAGGGGAGUGAAAUAGAACCUGAAACCGUGUGCUUACAAGUAGUCAGAGCCCGUUAAUGGGUGAUGGCGUGCCUUUUGUAGAAUGAACCGGCGAGUUACGAUUUGAUGCAAGGUUAAGCAGUAAAUGUGGAGCCGUAGCGAAAGCGAGUCUGAAUAGGGCGUUUAGUAUUUGGUCGUAGACCCGAAACCAGGUGAUCUACCCUUGGUCAGGUUGAAGUUCAGGUAACACUGAAUGGAGGACCGAACCGACUUACGUUGAAAAGUGAGCGGAUGAACUGAGGGUAGCGGAGAAAUUCCAAUCGAACCUGGAGAUAGCUGGUUCUCUCCGAAAUAGCUUUAGGGCUAGCCUCAAGUGAUGAUUAUUGGAGGUAGAGCACUGUUUGGACGAGGGGCCCCUCUCGGGUUACCGAAUUCAGACAAACUCCGAAUGCCAAUUAAUUUAACUUGGGAGUCAGAACAUGGGUGAUAAGGUCCGUGUUCGAAAGGGAAACAGCCCAGACCACCAGCUAAGGUCCCAAAAUAUAUGUUAAGUGGAAAAGGAUGUGGCGUUGCCCAGACAACUAGGAUGUUGGCUUAGAAGCAGCCAUCAUUUAAAGAGUGCGUAAUAGCUCACUAGUCGAGUGACACUGCGCCGAAAAUGUACCGGGGCUAAACAUAUUACCGAAGCUGUGGAUUGUCCUUUGGACAAUGGUAGGAGAGCGUUCUAAGGGCGUUGAAGCAUGAUCGUAAGGACAUGUGGAGCGCUUAGAAGUGAGAAUGCCGGUGUGAGUAGCGAAAGACGGGUGAGAAUCCCGUCCACCGAUUGACUAAGGUUUCCAGAGGAAGGCUCGUCCGCUCUGGGUUAGUCGGGUCCUAAGCGGAGGCCGACAGGCGUAGGCGAUGGAUAACAGGUUGAUAUUCCUGUACCACCUAUCAUCGUUUUAAACGAUUGGGGGACGCAGUAGAAUAGGCGAAGCGUGC
Molecule: ribosomal RNA, 1194 nt
Filed under: Escherichia coli
Lineage: Bacteria; Pseudomonadati; Pseudomonadota; Gammaproteobacteria; Enterobacterales; Enterobacteriaceae
Description: partial 23S ribosomal RNA
Rfam family: Bacterial large subunit ribosomal RNA
Source: RNAcentral